This 210-nucleotide long non-coding RNA is filed under the name Hordeum vulgare. Its description in RNAcentral is "long non-coding RNA (HVUL_LNC014381)". Lineage: Eukaryota; Viridiplantae; Streptophyta; Magnoliopsida; Poales; Poaceae. The record is from RNAcentral.
ACUGCUUCAUUAACCUCUUCUAAACACCUUUCCGACAUGCUGGGCCCACAAGUCAGGUUGACCAUUAUCUUUGACCCUUGUUACAGAUAGGACCCACACGUCAGAUCUUUCUUCCACAUCUCUCCACCCUCAUGUGCAUCGAACAGGUUAUGUGCGUCUCGUCGCAGAGCACGGAGAGCUCGAAGGCCGCCUCCUCCUCCUCAUCAUCGG